Pelobates cultripes (western spadefoot toad) is the source of this 317-nucleotide non-coding RNA. The record is from the annotation of a GenBank genome assembly. NCBI's taxonomy places the organism in Eukaryota, Metazoa, Chordata, Amphibia, Anura, Pelobatidae.
GAAUGCUCACGUUUGGAAGAGACACUGCGGGUUUUGCUCAACUCCAGGAGCCACACUGCCCAAGUACACUGCAGAAGGGGAGCCAGCCAGCUCUGGGAAUGGGGAGAACACAGGAUAGAGGGGUACUCAAGGAUGGGGAACUCAGGGUUCGGAGACAUCUGUGAAUUGGGAGCUUGGGGUAUGGGAGAGGAGGAGGGGGCGCACACAACGAUAGGAAGCUCCGGGUUCGGGAAGCUCUGUGGAUAAGGGUAUUCAGGGUUUGAAGUAGCUUUGAGAAUAGGGAGCUCGGUGGAUGAGAAUCUCUAGGUUUGUAGGAG